Molecule: long non-coding RNA, 1565 nt
Organism: Xenopus laevis (African clawed frog)
Lineage: Eukaryota; Metazoa; Chordata; Amphibia; Anura; Pipidae
Exons: 3
Source: RefSeq, a predicted model, not a curated record
CUAGUUCCGGCAAUAGCCGAAAAGCAUAGAUCUGUACUUUGGUAAAUAAUGGAGGAGUCUCUAUUCAUUUCUAUACUGUGGGCCACAAGUUGUUAAAUGGCUAUUGGUCAGUGCUAUAGUCAGCAGUUGCAACAAUACAACACAAUGUGGCUCCCUUAUUACAUUUGCUCACAGGCAGACCCGGCAAAGUCAAAUCUGUAGGUGGCGCAGCUGAAGACACUGCUCCAGACGCUUGUGAGUCUGCUCAGCAUUUAGUUCCAACUCGUGCUGCUUCUCAUGGAGGAACUCCAGCAAUUCCUGCACCUGAGUCGCUAGGUCAAUGUCCUUCUCACAGAUCAGUUCGAUUCCUGUGGGAUAUAUGAGGCUGUUAUGCACUUGAAUUGAUGGAGCAACUUGAAUCUUUGGAAAUGUAUGAGACCCGGGAGCUUUAAUGCAAAGACUGCUGUAGCUUGGGAAAUCUAAAUAAUUUUGGCAAAGCUAGUGAGAAAAUAGUUUUAGGGCCUCCCAUCUUUGAAACUUUGUACAUUUAUACUGAGAUUGUGAAAAAAUGCAUGUAGGGACACACGAGUGGAGCCAAAAACGAAUGGAGACAAAAAGAGGAUAGACAUCAAGGACUGAUGUGUACAGAUGAAAAGAAAUAGAACAAUGAAAAGGAUACACAUGAAAAGUAGAUACAUGGAGAGGAGAUACAUAAAAAGCAGAAACAUGGAGAGUAGAUACAAGGCAAUAAGAUACUAAGAGAGGGGAGACCCAGAUAAAAAGGAGAUACAUGGAGAGGAGGAAGAAGAGACAUAUGAAAAGGUGGCAUACAAAGUGGAGACAGGAGAAUCCACAUAUAGAGGAAGCAGAUGAAGAGGAGACAGAGGGGCAGGAGGCAAUGAAAAGGAGACGGAUGAAGAUAAAACACAUGAAGAGGAGACACAUAGACAAGAGACACAUGGAGAGGGGACAAAUGAAAAGGAGAAGCAUGGAGUGGAGACAUGUAGAUAGGAAACACAUGGAAUGGAGACACAUGAAAAGUAGAAGCAUACAAAGGAAGUACAUGAAGAGGAGAUACAUGCAUGCAGAAGAGACAAAUGUAAAUGCAGAGACAAAUGCAGCACGGUGUGACGUACCCAAAGCAACAUGAUGUCAUUGACUGCACCCACCUGACGCCUGCACCUCCAUUAUAUACUGAUGCAGAUCCUGACCCUGCUGGAUGACUUCAAAUGUCAUAUUGUUCAUGGCCAGCUUGCGUUCCUUGUGCCGCUGUAGUCGCUGCUCGGCCAGGGUCAGGUCCUCCGUGUUGAAGUCAUUCAUCUGUCGCAACAGGUCCUCAUUCCAGGCAUCCAGCUCAGCCGUCACCUGUGGUUAUAACAAGAGAGACAGUUCACAUGAGCACCAGAAUCAUAAAUUGGACCACUUUACAAAGGCAUCUCCUGCCAGCAGUGCUGUAAGUGAAUCUUUCAAACAAAACUUUGGAUCCUGCAGAAUGUCUGCCAUGAAGCAAGAUAGGGCAGCUGUAUUUUGUUUUUUUUUUAAACAUGUCCUACAAUUACUUAAAUAAAUCUUAAACAAUCCCUUUA